This 520-nucleotide ribosomal RNA is filed under the name uncultured Entrophospora. RNAcentral describes it as "SSU rRNA". It matches the Rfam family "Eukaryotic small subunit ribosomal RNA", at positions 569 to 1083 of the family's 1831-position model. The record is from RNAcentral. Lineage: Eukaryota; Fungi; Glomeromycota; Glomeromycetes; Entrophosporales; Entrophosporaceae.
AGCAGCCGUGGUAAUUCCAGCUCCAAUAGCGUAUAUUAAAGUUGUUGCAGUUAAAAAGCUCGUAGUUGAAUUUCGGGAUUGGCGCAUCGGUCGUGCCUUACGGGGUAUGAACUGGUGCAGUCAAUUUCUCACCUUCUGGAGAACCGCGAUGUCCUUAAUUGGGUGCCGCGGGGAACCAGGACCUUUACUUUGAAAAAAUUAGAGUGUUUAAAGCAGGCAUUUUUGCUUGAAUACAUUAGCAUGGAAUAAUAAAAUAGGACGGCAUGGUUCUAUUUUGUUGGUUUCUAGGACCACCGUAAUGAUUAAUAGGGAUAGUUGGGGGCAUUAGUAUUCAAUUGUCAGAGGUGAAAUUCUUGGAUUUAUUGAAGACUAACUACUGCGAAAGCAUUUGCCAAGGAUGUUUUCAUUAAUCAAGAACGAAAGUUAGGGGAUCGAAGACGAUCAGAUACCGUCGUAGUCUUAACCAUAAACUAUGCCGACUAGGAAUCAGACGAUGUUAAUUUUUUAAUGACUCGUUUGG